CAUAGAAAUUUAAAGCUUUGGUAUGAUGUAUUAGAGACGAGUUCUCCAGUUGUAGAUCGAGCAAUUAGGUUGAUUGAGGAUUGGAACAAUGCGCGCAGAGCAGCAAGGAUACUCGGGUUGACAACAAGAGUGCUUCUAAAGUAAUUAAGUCUUUUGACGGAUCAAUAUAAGCUUUUAUUCGAUGGCAGAAAUCGGCGACAUGGAGAUAUAAGUGUAACAUUAAUACGUCAUUUCAUCUCAACGCAAUCGAGUGGGC
RNAcentral lists this long non-coding RNA (256 nucleotides) under Trifolium pratense (red clover). RNAcentral's name for it is "long non-coding RNA (TPRA_LNC004717)". The record is from RNAcentral. Lineage: Eukaryota; Viridiplantae; Streptophyta; Magnoliopsida; Fabales; Fabaceae.